AUUGGCGUUUAAGAGCUGCGACGUAUUAUGUACACCGUAUAUAUGUAGCUGUGAUAUAAUACCACAUUAUCGCAAUCGACAAAUUGUGUUGCUACCAAGCAGCACGCGACUUGUUUAUAAUUAUUACCACCGUUCCAAGGACGGAGAUCAAAUCAAAUGUUCCAGUUCGUUUUAAAGCUGUCGUGACUGGAAAUAUUCUACACUCUUCUUGUGCCAGAUGAAAUAUAAAUAGCAGGUCGUUGGUAUUUUGGAUUGGCCUCGCUCGAUGACUUCAGCAGCCGCGCAUAGUUGCCAAAUGACGUUGUGAAAUACGUUGGGCGACUGGCGAGGUCGUAUUUCUGUUGCGCUGUUGCCAUGCGGGUCUCGGCACCCGCCCUGAGCUUGCCUGAUACGCUUAAAAUGAGCUUUUCGUGAUGUAUACUGCGCAGCUGCAUUAUAAUCUGUUCCAGUGUUGCUAUGGCGAUAAUAGAAUCCAUGUCGUAUUUCUAGCAAAGUUAUAAAAGUAUUUUCGCCGAACGGUGGUAUGCACGUGCAGUAGAUACGCCUUAUAAUUUGUCUGCAAUUACUAACAAUAAGUUUGAAAGCAUGCACAUACAUCAAUACAAAGACAACAUUUGAAACACUUAUCGUAUACGUGGAUCGUAACAAGAUCGCAACUGUUGACUGCGUGUAUAGUCCGUACCAGAAAUUACGACUUGGAAAAAUAAUGAGUCUUGGAUAAUCAGUUGUGAAAACAUCAGUUGACGCAUAUGCAAUAUCCCCACCUCGUACAUGUUGUGUUGACUGUGAAUCAGCUUACACAUGCCCAAUCCAUACAUAGACACAAUCACGUGUUGUUUUGAUAGCCAAAAUGAAGUAGAAGAAUGACGUUACUCGAAGUUAGUAAGCAAUGGAGUGGCAGGUACCAAGGACAAGACUAUAAUUCGUCAGGCAUUAUUGAAGCAGCAGCUUAAAUACGCCAGCACGUCAUUCGCUGUAUUGCAUAUUUUUUGUAACCGCCACAGCUAGAUUGUAUAUUUCUUUCCUAAAAUGAGUGGGCUAUCGCUUUGGAUAAGUAAUAAUCUCUAACUGUACGAAUCUAUGGCGUUUAUCUGCGUUGCAGUUUUGUAGCUUGUCAGGAAAACCAGCACCAGGUUUUCCGGUCUGCUGCAUCUGACGUUGAUGGAAUAUGAAGGGUCAGAGUCGGAAACGACGCUUUCACUUUCUACAAUCUACAUUGUAGCUGACAUUCUACAUGCUUCGAAAAGGCAUGGCGGCGUAACAGUACAUAAUGACACGAUACCAGCUGUUGAUGCUACGCUUUGGCCUGAAGCUUGCGGUUAGUUAUUUAGUUUUUCAACAGUAUUCGAACAAAAAGUGGAAAUAUUGCGUCGAGGUAAGGCUGUAUUUCUUCUUGAUCGACUGUAAUUACCACCGCUACAGAAUUUCCAAUUACUCGUGAAUGGAGAUGUGAAAUACAAUCCAGUGAACACAAUUAUGUCAAACUGAUGUCCGAAUGACGUCAUGUCACGUCAUGAUUUACGUAAGAUGUGAGUCAUAUAUGAGUCACAUAUGACUCAUAAUUUCCCACUUCCUGACGUAAGAAUCUUACGUAAGAUAAAUGACGUAAAUAUGACCUCCAGUUGACAUCAUUAUGACUUGACUGGCUUCAAAAUGACAUAACUCUGAUGUCAUAGAGAAGUAAAGUCGGUACCGGAAGCUUACAAAAAUAUGACGUCCAGCUGACGUACUUGUUAUUUAGCUGACGUCAAGAUGACUUAAAUUUGAGGUAAAAUAGUGAUAUAAAGUUGCGUCCAAUGCUUACAAAAUUGUAACGUCUGGCUGACAUGAUUAUCACUUACCUGACGUCUCGAUGACAUAACUCUGAUGUCAUAGUGAUAAAAAGUAUUUAAGAAUGCUUAUAAUAAUAUAACUGUUACAACAGACCUUGUAAAGUCAAAAUGUUUAUAUUUUUCAUCUAUAAAUAGUGAUUAUUUUGUUACUGUACCUCUAUUACAAUAUAAUAAUUGAUUUUGAA
This is a long non-coding RNA of Neodiprion fabricii, 2017 nucleotides long. RefSeq lists it as uncharacterized. The transcript is spliced from 2 exons. Lineage: Eukaryota; Metazoa; Arthropoda; Insecta; Hymenoptera; Diprionidae. The record is from RefSeq and is a predicted model, not a curated record.